GGUAGGAUGGCCGAUAUAGGUGGCGGAUUGUAGCUCCGUGUAUAGAGGUUUAAAUCCUCUUUCUAUCA
This is a non-coding RNA of Triplophysa rosa, 68 nucleotides long. The record is from the annotation of a RefSeq genome assembly. Lineage: Eukaryota; Metazoa; Chordata; Actinopteri; Cypriniformes; Nemacheilidae.